Long non-coding RNA from Daphnia pulicaria, 1110 nucleotides. RefSeq lists it as uncharacterized. Lineage: Eukaryota; Metazoa; Arthropoda; Branchiopoda; Diplostraca; Daphniidae. The record is from RefSeq and is a predicted model, not a curated record. The transcript is spliced from 6 exons.
UUUGCAUAAAAAUAGCAAGUGAGCUUUGUUCUCCGUACAGUUCUCAAGAGCAACUGCUAGGUUUUAGCGAACAAAAAUGUGCUUUUCAAGGUUUUGUAAGUAUCUUUAGACCAGUCCUUCAAAUACUGAUUUUUGAGAAGUGUCAUAACUGUCAUAUAGAUGGCGUGUUGAUUGUGUCAGUUUUAUGGUCUUGUGGAGUUUGCUGUCAAAAGUUAAGGUAUCUUUUCUUCGAAAAUUACCAAUGAAUUCAUGGGAGGAAACGUGAAAGCAGUGAAAGGUUCGUGCAGCCUACCGUCAACUAUUUUGUUCAAAAUCAUUGUAUUCUAUUGAAUAUGCCAUCGAAAUGAUACAGGAUUCAUCAUAAAUAUUCACCGUUUGUAUUGGACUUGCUAGAUCACCAACUCCAGCAUGGACCAAUCUCUCAUUCCAUCUUGAGAGAACCUUGGAUAACUGAUUGGUGGUUUCAUCUUUCAUGUAUCAUAGACAGCAAAGCACAUUAUGAACAAAUUAUAAACAAGACUAAGAAAAGCCAUGCUGUCCAUUGAAGAAUAAGGACAAUGACUAUACAUUCAACAAGGUUCCUUGUUUGCUAACCCGUUGGCUGCUACCCUUGAAUCUCCCAUUUAACUUCUUUACACGGGUCUUCUAUAUUUGAGGUUAAUCCUUCCCCGCUAUUUAAUAGACUUCAUCCAUUGGUGAAAACUGACGAGAGAAUGCUGAAAUUCAAGACUCGUCAAUAAUUUAUGUAGAUGUAGAUAUAUUACAAGUGCAUAUCUGGGCUCCCUUCUUCAGUGGCCCCGUUUCCCUAAAUAACCACUAACCAACGCCCGCCGGUGGUCACUCACUCGCUGCGACAACCAGGAGGAAGGGAGAUGUUUGGUCGAACGGGGACUUGCAAGGCGCAUGAUUCGAUGAAAUCUGUUGGAGGGUCAUGAGUCUAAGCCGGAAGCCUACUAUGACACACUGCUCUCAUAAUAACUGCUCCUCAGCUCUCUUCGUUCUUUUUCCGGUUUCUCUUAACCAUGGCCGGGUAAUCUCCCUGGUCGAGUCAGUCGGGCAGUGUCUCCCCCUGCUCGACUGGCAGCAGUUUGUACCGGACGGUCUGUUUAA